Molecule: ribosomal RNA, 253 nt
Filed under: uncultured bacterium
Lineage: Bacteria
Description: partial 16S ribosomal RNA
Rfam family: Bacterial small subunit ribosomal RNA
Source: RNAcentral
UACGUAGGGUCCAAGCGUUAAUCGGAAUUACUGGGCGUAAAGCGUGCGCAGGCGGUUGUGUAAGCCAGAUGUGAAAUCCCCGGGCUUAACCUGGGAAUGGCAUUUGGGACUGCACGGCUAGAGUACGGCAGAGGAGACUAGAAUUCCUGGUGUAGCAGUGAAAUGCGUAGAUAUCAGGAGGAAUACCGAUGGCGAAGGCAGGUCUCUGGGUCGAUACUGACGCUCAUGCACGAAAGCGUAGGGAGCAAACAGG